UCCCUGGUGGUUCAAAUGGUAAACAGUCUGCCUGCAAUGCAGGAGACCCAGGUUCAAUCCCUGGGUUGGGAA
Molecule: transfer RNA, 72 nt
Filed under: Bos taurus (domestic cattle)
Lineage: Eukaryota; Metazoa; Chordata; Mammalia; Artiodactyla; Bovidae
Also listed under: 5 other names
Rfam family: tRNA
About the family: Transfer RNA (tRNA) molecules are approximately 80 nucleotides in length.
Source: Rfam by way of RNAcentral